This 468-nucleotide ribosomal RNA is filed under the name uncultured bacterium. RNAcentral's name for it is "partial 16S ribosomal RNA". It matches the Rfam family "Bacterial small subunit ribosomal RNA", at positions 28 to 523 of the family's 1533-position model. The record is from RNAcentral.
GAUGAACGCUGGCGGCGUGCCUAACACAUGCAAGUCGAGCGAUCUUCUUCGGGAGAGAGCGGCGGACGGGUGAGUAACGCGUGGGUAACCUGCCCUGUACACACGGAUAACAUACCGAAAGGUAUGCUAAUACGAGAUAAUAUGCUUUUGUCGCAUGGUAGAAGUAUCAAAGCUCCGGCGGUACAGGAUGGACCCGCGUCUGAUUAGCUAGUUGGUAAGGUAACGGCUUACCAAGGCGACGAUCAGUAGCCGACCUGAGAGGGUGAUCGGCCACAUUGGAACUGAGACUCGGUCCAAACUCCUACGGGAGGCAGCAGUGGGGAAUAUUGCACAAUGGGCGAAAGCCUGAUGCAGCAACGCCGCGUGAGCGAUGAAGGCCUUCGGGUCGUAAAGCUCUGUCCUCAAGGAAGAUAAUGACGGUACUUGAGGAGGAAGCCCCGGCUAACUACGUGCCAGCCGCCGCAGUAA